ACCCACCAGCUAGCCCUCCCCCAUUACCCAACACUUAUUUAUUAAUAACCCCUCACGCACUAAAACAAAAAACCAAACCAUUUUUCCUCCUAAGUAUAGGCGACAGAAAAGGAAACCAGGAGCAAUAGAAAAAGUACCGCAAGGGAACGCUGAAAGAGAAAUGAAACAAUCCAGUAAAGCCUAAAAAAGCAGAGAUCAUACCUCGU
This 206-nucleotide ribosomal RNA is filed under the name Osteomugil engeli (kanda). RNAcentral's name for it is "Moolgarda engeli partial 16S ribosomal RNA". Lineage: Eukaryota; Metazoa; Chordata; Actinopteri; Mugiliformes; Mugilidae. The record is from RNAcentral.